ACGAAUAUUAUAUGAUGUUCAUAAAUUAUAUGUUAAUACUCCUAAAUAACAAAUUUAUUUAAUAAAAGAUUAAUUACAACCACAAAAAUGAAACUUUAUUAAUUCAAACCAUUGUUAGUGUAAAUAGCAUAUUUUAUCUACUGAAAUUGUAAUAAAAAUAUAGUAUAACAAUCUGAAAAAAAAAAUAGAAUUAAAAUUUAACCCACCCCUCCCUCCCACUCCCUUCCCUUCUUUUCUUCUCAGCUGGCACUUCUGGGGUGCUCCCAACACCCACCCCAACACCAUUUCCUUUUCCUUUUCUCACCAUUUCCCUUUAUUUCUCUCACCAAUUACCC
Molecule: long non-coding RNA, 335 nt
Filed under: Salvia miltiorrhiza (redroot sage)
Lineage: Eukaryota; Viridiplantae; Streptophyta; Magnoliopsida; Lamiales; Lamiaceae
Description: long non-coding RNA (SMIL_LNC014050)
Source: RNAcentral